GUGCUUACUUCAACAGCACAUAUACCAAAAUUGGAAAGAUACUGCAGGAGAUUACCAUGGCCCCUGCACAAAGAUGGCACGCAAAUUCUUGACGCGUCCAUAUUUUGU
Molecule: small nuclear RNA, 108 nt
Organism: Balaenoptera musculus (blue whale)
Lineage: Eukaryota; Metazoa; Chordata; Mammalia; Artiodactyla; Balaenopteridae
Source: Ensembl